AAAUGGUCGCUGAUAAUUUAGUCGGUUUACCACAUACUAAUUUCACCCAAAAUGAUACCAUACGGACUUUAAUAUCUAAAUUGAUGGGAUAUCGUCCAAGCUCACCAUAUAUUACGCAAUUUGGGAUAGAAGACUUUAGGUGCAGAAGAAGCUUACAGAAUUUUAAUUGAACUUUCUCCAAAAUGUCGUUAUUCCCAAACCCCCAAAUUUCACAACCGUACAAUAAGACCGGU
RNAcentral lists this long non-coding RNA (233 nucleotides) under Mytilus galloprovincialis (Mediterranean mussel). The record is from RNAcentral. Lineage: Eukaryota; Metazoa; Mollusca; Bivalvia; Mytilida; Mytilidae.